RNAcentral lists this ribosomal RNA (427 nucleotides) under uncultured bacterium. RNAcentral describes it as "partial 16S ribosomal RNA". It matches the Rfam family "Bacterial small subunit ribosomal RNA", at positions 354 to 796 of the family's 1533-position model. The record is from RNAcentral.
GUGGGGAAUUUUGGACAAUGUGGGAAACCCUGAUCCAGCGACGCCGCGUGAAGGAUGAAGGCCUUCGGGUUGUAAACUUCUUUUGGAGGGGACGAAUAAAUUGACGGUACCCUCAGAAAAAGCCACGGCUAACUACGUGCCAGCAGCCGCGGUAAUACGUAGGUGGCGAGCGUUACUCGGAAUUACUAGGCGUAAAGCGUAUGUAGGCGGUUGUAUAAGUCUAUGGUGAAAUUUCCUGGCUCAACUGGGAAGGGACAUAGAUACUGUAUGGCUUGAGUGUUGGAGGGGGAGACGGAAUUCCUGGUGUAGCGGUGAAAUGCGUAGAUAUCAGGAGGAACACCGAUGGCGAAAGCAGUCUCCUGGCCAAAUACUGACGCUGAGGUACGAAAGCUAGGGUAGCAAACAGGAUUAGAAACCCCUGUAGUCC